RNAcentral lists this ribosomal RNA (205 nucleotides) under uncultured bacterium. RNAcentral describes it as "partial 16S ribosomal RNA". It matches the Rfam family "Bacterial small subunit ribosomal RNA", at positions 570 to 774 of the family's 1533-position model. The record is from RNAcentral.
UGUAGGCGGUCAGGUAAGUUGGACGUGAAAGCUCCUGGCUCAACUAGGAGAGGUCGUUCAAAACUGCCUGGCUAGAGGGCGACAGAGGGAGGUGGAAUUCCCGGUGUAGUGGUGAAAUGCGUAGAUAUCGGGAGGAACACCAGUGGCGAAGGCGGCCUCCUGGGUCGCACCUGACGCUCAGACGCGAAAGCUAGGGGAGCGAACG